RNAcentral lists this ribosomal RNA (691 nucleotides) under uncultured Bacteroidales bacterium. RNAcentral's name for it is "bacterial SSU rRNA". It matches the Rfam family "Bacterial small subunit ribosomal RNA", at positions 68 to 751 of the family's 1533-position model. The record is from RNAcentral. Lineage: Bacteria; Pseudomonadati; Bacteroidota; Bacteroidia; Bacteroidales.
AGCAUGGUCUUAGCUUGCUAAGGCCGAUGGCGACCGGCGCACGGGUGAGUAACACGUAUCCAACCUGCCGUCUACUCUUGGACAGCCCUCUGAAAGGAAGAUUAAUACAAGAUGGCAUCAUGAGUUCACAUGUUCACAUGAUUAAAGGUAUUCCGGUAGACGAUGGGGAUGCGUUCCAUUAGAUAGUAGGCGGGGUAACGGCCCACCUAGUCUUCGAUGGAUAGGGGUUCUGAGAGGAAGGUCCCCCACAUUGGAACUGAGACACGGUUCAAACUCCUACGGGAGGCAGCAGUGAGGAAUAUUGGUCAAUGGGCGCAGGCCUGAACCAGCCAAGUAGCGUGAAGGAUGACUGCCCUAUGGGUUGUAAACUUCUUUUAUAAAGGAAUAAAGUCGGGUAUGUAUACCCGUUUGCAUGUACUUUAUGAAUAAGGAUCGGCUAACUCCGUGCCAGCAGCCGCGGUAAUACGGAGGAUCCGAGCGUUAUCCGGAUUUAUUGGGUUUAAAGGGAGCGUAGAUGGAUGUUUAAGUCAGUUGUGAAAGUUUGCGGCUCAACCGUAAAAUUGCAGUUGAUACUGGAUAUCUUGAGUGCAGUUGAGGCAGGCGGAAUUCGUGGUGUAGCGGUGAAAUGCUUAGAUAUCACGAAGAACUCCGAUUGCGAAGGCAGCCUGCUAAGCUGCAACUGACAUUGAGG